RNAcentral lists this ribosomal RNA (329 nucleotides) under Salmonella enterica subsp. enterica serovar Virchow. RNAcentral's name for it is "partial 23S ribosomal RNA". It matches the Rfam family "Bacterial large subunit ribosomal RNA", at positions 1428 to 1757 of the family's 2925-position model. Lineage: Bacteria; Pseudomonadati; Pseudomonadota; Gammaproteobacteria; Enterobacterales; Enterobacteriaceae. The record is from RNAcentral. RNAcentral also lists the same sequence under 1 other name.
GGUUAAUAUUCCCGUACUUGGUGUUACUGCGAAGGGGGGACGGAGAAGGCUAUGUUGGCCGGGCGACGGUUGUCCCGGUUUAAGCGUGUAGGUGUGUGUUCCAGGUAAAUCCGGUUCACUUUAACACUGAGGCGUGACGACGAGGCACUACGGUGCUGAAGCAACAAAUGCCCUGCUUCCAGGAAAAGCCUCUAAGCAUCAGGUAACAUCAAAUCGUACCCCAAACCGACACAGGUGGUCAGGUAGAGAAUACCAAGGCGCUUGAGAGAACUCGGGUGAAGGAACUAGGCAAAAUGGUGCCGUAACUUCGGGAGAAGGCACGCUGACAC